CAUUCCAAACCUGGAUUUUUAGGGUGCCGGGGAGGAAAAGGAGAAUUCCUUAGUGUAGCGGGGAAAUGGGUAGAGAUUUUGGAGGAACCACCAGUGGCGGAAGGCGACCUUACUGGUCUGUAAACUGACGCUGAGGCGCGAAAGCGGGGGGAGCAAACAGGAUUAGAUACCCUGGUAGUCCACGCCGUAAACGAUGAGUGCUAAGUGUUAGGGGGUUUCCGCCCCUUAGUGCUGCAGUAAACGCAUUAAGCACUCCGCCUGGGGAGUACGGCCGCAAGGCUGAAACUCAAAGGAAUUGACGGGGGCCCGCACAAGCAGCGGAGCAUGUGGUUUAAUUCGAAGCAACGCGAAGAACCUUACCUAGACUUGACAUCUCCUGCAUUACUCUUAAUCGAGGAAGUCCCUUCGGGGACAGGAUGACAGGUGGUGCAUGGUUGUCGUCAGCUCGUGUCGUGAGAUGUUGGGUUAAGUCCCGCAACGAGCGCAACCCUUAUUGUUAGUUGCCAUCAUUAAGUUGGGCACUCUAGCGAGACUGCCCGGGUUAACCGGGAGGAAGGUGGGGAUGACGUCAAAUCAUCAUGCCCCUUAUGUCUAGGGCUACACACGUGCUACAAUGGUCGGUACAAUAAGACGCAAGCCCGCGGGGGGGAGCAAAACUGGAAAACCGAUCUCAGUUCGGAUUGUAGGCUGAAACUCGCCUACAUGAAGCUGGAGUUGCUAGUAAUCGCGAAUCAGCAUGUCGCGGUGAAUACGUUCCCGGGUCUUGUACACACCGCCCGUCA
RNAcentral lists this ribosomal RNA (782 nucleotides) under uncultured bacterium. Its description in RNAcentral is "bacterial SSU rRNA". It matches the Rfam family "Bacterial small subunit ribosomal RNA", at positions 623 to 1399 of the family's 1533-position model. The record is from RNAcentral.